UUGAUUUAGGAUUUAGGAUUUGGUAUAGGAUUUAGGAUUUGGUUUAGGGUUUGGUUAGGAUUUGAUUAGGAUUUGAUUUAAGAUUAGGAUUUAAGAUUUGAUUAGUAUUUGGUGUAGGAUUUAGAAUUUACUUUAAGAUUUAUUUAAGAUUAAAGAUUUAGUUAAUUUUUGGCAUAAAGUUUGAAUGAAGUCCAAUAGGAUUAUAAUUAGGAUUAAAUUAAGAUUGAAUUGAGAUAUAUUUGAG
Molecule: long non-coding RNA, 244 nt
Filed under: Physcomitrium patens
Lineage: Eukaryota; Viridiplantae; Streptophyta; Bryopsida; Funariales; Funariaceae
Description: long non-coding RNA (PPAT_LNC010777)
Source: RNAcentral